GAUGAACGCUGGCGGCGUGCCUAAUACAUGCAAGUCGAGCGAACGGACGAGAAGCUUGCUUCUCUGAUGUUAGCGGCGGACGGGUGAGUAACACGUGGAUAACCUACCUAUAAGACUGGGAUAACUUCGGGAAACCGUAGCUAAUACCGGAUAAUAUUUUGAACCGCAUGGUUCAAAAGUGAAAGACGGUCUUGCUGUCACUUAUAGAUGGAUCCGCGCUGCAUUAGCUAGUUGGUAAGGUAACGGCUUACCAAGGCAACGAUGCAUAGCCGACCUGAGAGGGUGAUCGGCCACACUGGAACUGAGACACGGUCCAGACUCCUACGGGAGGCAGCAGUAGGGAAGCGUCCGCAAUGGGCGAAAGCCUGACGGAGCAACGCCGCGUGAGUGAUGAAGGUCUUCGGAUCGUAAAACUCUGUUAUUAGGGAAGAACAUAUGUGUAAGUAACUGUGCACAUCUUGACGGUACCUAAUCAGAAAGCCACGGCUAACUACGUG
RNAcentral lists this ribosomal RNA (497 nucleotides) under uncultured bacterium. Its description in RNAcentral is "partial 16S ribosomal RNA". It matches the Rfam family "Bacterial small subunit ribosomal RNA", at positions 28 to 507 of the family's 1533-position model. The record is from RNAcentral.